CAUGCAAGUCGAACGAACUCUGGUAUUGAUUGGUGCUUGCAUCAUGAUUUACAUUUGAGUGAGUGGCGAACUGGUGAGUAACACGUGGGAAACCUGCCCAGAAGCGGGGGAUAACACCUGGAAACAGAUGCUAAUACCGCAUAACAACUUGGACCGCAUGGUCCGAGUUUGAAAGAUGGCUUCGGCUAUCACUUUUGGAUGGUCCCGCGGCGUAUUAGCUAGAUGGUGAGGUAACGGCUCACCAUGGCAAUGAUACGUAGCCGACCUGAGAGGGUAAUCGGCCACAUUGGGACUGAGACACGGCCCAAACUCCUACGGGAGGCAGCAGUAGGGAAUCUUCCACAAUGGACGAAAGUCUGAUGGAGCAACGCCGCGUGAGUGAAGAAGGGUUUCGGCUCGUAAAACUCUGUUGUUAAAGAAGAACAUAUCUGAGAGUAACUGUUCAGGUAUUGACGGUAUUUAACCAGAAAGCCACGGCUAACUACGUGCCAGCAGCCGCGGUAAUACGUAGGUGGCAAGCGUUGUCCGGAUUWAWUGGGCGUAAAGCGAGCGCAGGCGGUUUUUUAAGUCUGAUGUGAAAGCCUUCGGCUCAACCGAAGAAAGUGCAUCGGAAACUGGGAAACUUGAGUGCAGAAGAGGACAGUGGAACUCCAUGUGUAGCGGUGAAAUGCGUAGAUAUAUGGAAGAACACCAGUGGCGAAGGCGGCUGUCUGGUCUGUAACUGACGCUGAGGCUCGAAAGUAUGGGUAGCAAACAGGAUUAGAUACCCUGGUAGUCCAUACCGUAAACGAUGAAUGCUAAGUGUUGGAGGGUUUCCGCCCUUCAGUGCUGCAGCUAACGCAUUAAGCAUUCCGCCUGGGGAGUACGGCCGCAAGGCUGAAACUCAAAGGAAUUGACGGGGGCCCGCACAAGCGGUGGAGCAUGUGGUUUAAUUCGAAGCUACGCGAAGAACCUUACCAGGUCUUGACAUACUAUGCAAAUCUAAGAGAUUAGACGUUCCCUUCGGGGACAUGGAUACAGGUGGUGCAUGGUUGUCGUCAGCUCGUGUCGUGAGAUGUUGGGUUAAGUCCCGCAACGAGCGCAACCCUUAUUAUCAGUUGCCAGCAUUAAGUUGGGCACUCUGGUGAGACUGCCGGUGACAAACCGGAGGAAGGUGGGGAUGACGUCAAAUCAUCAUGCCCCUUAUGACCUGGGCUACACACGUGCUACAAUGGAUGGUACAACGAGUUGCGAACUCGCGAGAGUAAGCUAAUCUCUUAAAGCCAUUCUCAGUUCGGAUUGUAGGCUGCAACUCGCCUACAUGAAGUCGGAAUCGCUAGUAAUCGCGGAUCAGCAUGCCGCG
Molecule: ribosomal RNA, 1342 nt
Filed under: Lactiplantibacillus plantarum
Lineage: Bacteria; Bacillati; Bacillota; Bacilli; Lactobacillales; Lactobacillaceae
Description: bacterial SSU rRNA
Rfam family: Bacterial small subunit ribosomal RNA
Source: RNAcentral